This 431-nucleotide ribosomal RNA is filed under the name unidentified low G+C gram-positive bacterium RS21a. RNAcentral's name for it is "bacterial SSU rRNA". It matches the Rfam family "Bacterial small subunit ribosomal RNA", at positions 793 to 1222 of the family's 1533-position model. The record is from RNAcentral. Lineage: Bacteria; Bacillati; Bacillota.
GUCCACGCCGUAAACGAUGAGUGCUAAGUGUUAGAGGGUUUCCGCCCUUUAGUGCUGCAGCUAACGCAUUAAGCACUCCGCCUGGGGAGUACGGCCGCAAGGCUGAAACUCAAAGGAAUUGACGGGGGCCCGCACAAGCGGUGGAGCAUGUGGUUUAAUUCGAAGCAACGCGAAGAACCUUACCAGGUCUUGACAUCCUCUGACAACCCUAGAGAUAGGGCUUUCCCCUUCGGGGGACAGAGUGACAGGUGGUGCAUGGUUGUCGNCAGCUCGUGUCGUGAGAUGUUGGGUUAAGUCCCGCAACGAGCGCAACCCUUGAUCUUAGUUGCCAGCAUUCAGUUGGGCACUCUAAGGUGACUGCCGGUGACAAACCGGAGGAAGGUGGGGAUGACGUCAAAUCAUCAUGCCCCUUAUGACCUGGGCUACACACG